GUACCUUAUAUUUAUAUAAGGUGGCACAGAAUCGGAGGCCCCGACUGUUUACUAAAAACACAACACAGUGCAAUCAUAAGUAUGGUAGUAUACUGUGUGAAAUUUGCCCGAUGCCAUUAAUAUAAGAAAAGUUAUGGAUUUGUUUAUUAAAACAAUACUGUGACCUAUCGAAAAUCUGGUUAAUAGCGGUCUUAUUCCUUGAGGAUCCUAAGGUAGCAAAAUCAAUUGGCCAUUAAAUGUGGUCCGGUAUCAAUAAUGUAACGAUGGUCUCACUGUCUCUACAACUUGCUCAGUGAAAUUGAAUUACGCGUGCAGAUGCGCGUUGCCUCCAGGGGGACGGGAAGACCCUAUGCAGC
This 356-nucleotide ribosomal RNA is filed under the name Inocybe sp. OD6271. RNAcentral's name for it is "LSU rRNA". It matches the Rfam family "Bacterial large subunit ribosomal RNA", at positions 1748 to 2099 of the family's 2925-position model. The record is from RNAcentral. Lineage: Eukaryota; Fungi; Basidiomycota; Agaricomycetes; Agaricales; Inocybaceae.